AAACCUGAGAAACCCAAAAGAUCGAAUGGGGAGAUUCAUCGUCAGCGUUACUGGUACGUGUGCGGUUCGCGAUGCCCGGGACUUCGGUUCCGUGGUACGCGUCCGCAUGUUUUUAUUGCCUGGUAACGUCGGCGUGCACUUCUCCCCUAGUAGGACGUCGCGACCCGUUGGGUGUCGGUCUACGGCCCGGGUGGUUGCCUGUCUCGUGUGGCGCUUCACGGCGUCACGCGGGGCAGACCCCCGGUUGCCUGACCGGCUGCCCGGCGGUAUUCGCAAGGUAUCCGGCCGCAAAAAUUCGAACUGCGUCCGGCUCGUCGCAAGCGAGGCAAGUGUUUCCCGAAUGUACGGAUCUAACGCCGUCGUCGGGCCUGGCCAGCUGUUGGUUGACGGUGUCCUAGGACUGGCUGUAAGAUACCGGUCAGCGACGCUACUGCUUUGGGUACUUUCAGGACCCGUCUUGAAACACGGACCAAGGAGUCUAACAUGUGCGCGAGUCAUUGGGAAUUAUUAAGCCUAAAGGCGCAAUGAAAGUGAAGGUCGGCCUUGCGCCGACCGAGGGAGGAUGGGCCGCUCUACGAGUCGGUCCCGCACUCCCGGGACGUCUCGUUCUCAU
This 613-nucleotide ribosomal RNA is filed under the name Diplazon laetatorius. Its description in RNAcentral is "eukaryotic LSU rRNA". It matches the Rfam family "Eukaryotic large subunit ribosomal RNA", at positions 417 to 780 of the family's 3401-position model. The record is from RNAcentral. Lineage: Eukaryota; Metazoa; Arthropoda; Insecta; Hymenoptera; Ichneumonidae.